GACGAACGCUGGCGGCGUGCUUAACACAUGCAAGUCGAGCGGUAAGGCCCUUUCGGGGGUACACGAGCGGCGAACGGGUGAGUAACACGUGGGUGACCUGCCCUCAGCUCUGGGAUAAGCCUGGGAAACCGGGUCUAAUACUGGAUAUGACUCCAUGACGCAUGUUGUGGGGUGGAAAGCCUUGUGCGGCUGAGGAUGGGCCCGCGGCCUAUCAGCUUGUUGGUGGGGUGANGGCCUACCAAGGCGACGACGGGUAGCCGGCCUGAGAGGGCGACCGGCCACACUGGGACUGAGACACGGCCCAGACUCCUACGGGAGGCAGCAGGUGGGGAAUCUUGCGCAAUGGGCGAAAGCCUGACGCAGCGACGCCGCGUGAGGGAUGACGGCCUGGUCGUAAC
This 398-nucleotide ribosomal RNA is filed under the name uncultured bacterium. RNAcentral describes it as "bacterial SSU rRNA". It matches the Rfam family "Bacterial small subunit ribosomal RNA", at positions 28 to 429 of the family's 1533-position model. The record is from RNAcentral.